Molecule: ribosomal RNA, 438 nt
Filed under: Microbacteriaceae bacterium
Lineage: Bacteria; Bacillati; Actinomycetota; Actinomycetes; Micrococcales; Microbacteriaceae
Description: bacterial SSU rRNA
Rfam family: Bacterial small subunit ribosomal RNA
Source: RNAcentral
UGCAGUCGACGAUGAACUCCAGCUUGCUGGGGGGAUUAGUGGCGAACGGGUGAGUAACACGUGAGUGACCUGCCCUUGACUCUGGGAUAAGCGUUGGAAACGACGUCUAAUACCGGAUAUGAACUGUGACGGCAUCGUCUGCAGUUGGAAAGAAUUUUGGUCAAGGAUGGACUCGCGGCCUAUCAGGUAGUUGGUGAGGUAACGGCUCACCAAGCCGACGACGGGUAGCCGGCCUGAGAGGGUGACCGGCCACACUGGGACUGAGACACGGCCCAGACUCCUACGGGAGGCAGCAGUGGGGAAUAUUGCACAAUGGGCGAAAGCCUGAUGCAGCAACGCCGCGUGAGGGACGACGGCCUUCGGGUUGUAAACCUCUUUUAGUAGGGAAGAAGCGAAAGUGACGGUACCUGCAGAAAAAGCACCGGCUAACUACGUGCC